CUGGAUUGCCACAAAGAGAAAAAAGAGGUUUUAAACCAUCUAAGAAAGGGAAAAGUUCUGUCACUCAGCAAGAAAAACCAUAAAAGUCCUUUUGAGUCUUCUGAACAAACGCGUCUUUUAUGUUUCUGGAAUAUUUAAAUAUUUAGCUCAGAAAUACAAUAAAAUUAUGAGGUUUCAAAUAAACUUCACUAAGUUCUUCUUACAUAAGAUGUUAAAGUUAUGAAAGGAGCAAAGAGUUUAAUUGAAAUGGUUUUGUCAAAUAACUUCCCAGGUCAGGAUUUACUCUGUAUGAUUAUCACAGUGAUAAUGAAUAAAAUUACAAUACAAGACCAAAUAAAACAUUUUGUUUAUAGCAAUUAGAUUAUUUUUAUCAUUAAUGUGAACAAUUGAAAAAUGAUUGCUAUUUGGUUGCUUUGUUAGUUUAGAGUUGAUAAUGGUAGAAUGAGGCAAGAUGGAAAAGAUGCACCAUGAUUAUUGUGAAGGAAUUUGUCACUUUUACUUAUGUUAUGAUUGCAUUGUAGUGUAAAUGUGUGAAAACUGUGCAUAAAGUACUUUUAGGAAGUAAAACGAGUGUGCAAACAGUAGAACUGGCAGCACUACUCCAUCCAUAGGACUGAUUGUCAUGUUCUGUGUCCCUUUGUUCCCCAGCCCCUCCAGUUCCCACUCCAGGUUCUCCUUUUGUGCUUCAUAGCGCCCUCAUGUGUCCUUUGUCUGCAUCUCAUUUAUGUGUCUCCUGUGUUCCUUUAGUCUUCUCCAGUCAUCCAUCUGCAGUGUUUAUAGUUUCAGCAUUUCAUUUUUAUUAGUCUCUUUAAUAUGUUUUGUCCCACCGGUUUUUGUAGUUCUCCUUCCCUUUAGAAUUUUAGUUAUAUGGUUGCUUUUCUGUUUUUAGGUUCACUCUUAGGUCAUGUUAGUUUCUUCCCCGAUUAGUCAUUGCUUUCACCUGGUCCUCCCCCCACACUCCACACAACUGCAGCUCAUCUGCCUCCCAUUAUGCCCCAGUGUAUUUAAGCCCUGUCUUGUCUCUGUGUCUUGUCGGUCCAUUGUUGCUGUUUGUGGUAAUUCUGUCAGUCUCUCGUUCCUAGUCUCUAGUGUUUCUCGUGUCUCAGUUGGAUCUCUAGUUUAUUUUGGAUUUUGGACAUUUUUGGACUUUGGCUCCCUGCCCCUGGAUUUAUUCUUCGUUUCAUCCUUCAAAAUUAAAGGAUUUUACUUUACAUCAUCUCCUGCCUCGUGUCAUCCUGGGUUUCUGCAUUUUGGAUUCUAACAUCCCUCCAAAACGUGACACUGAUUGUGUUUGUUGCACACAGAAUAACCCAGCCAGAACUUCUUAAAUGGAACCUAAACAAAGGCACUCAUAUUUAAAUGCACAAGACAAGAAGAUGACCAAAGAAGAACGUCUCCUCCCACAUUCCUCCAAACGACGGUGGUUUUAAAAUGUGGCCCAGAGAGGAUAAGAAGUGAAGGAAGUGAGCAGCGCAGCCUGCAGUUCUAGAAGAUGACUGAUGUUGGCGUUUCCUGUAGAGCGGCAACAGCUGGUGCCACUCAGCAACAAUCACCGGCUGGGGAUAUAAGGAGCAGUGAGAUGCCAACACUUCGUUGGAUGAUUAACUCCCUUUGGGUUUUUCUACGACCGCCUUUCGAGCAUUGCUAUCAGCAUCUCAUUUUGUGUCUUUUGAGUUUCCCGCUAAUCAAGAAACCAACACUAUCGUCUCAACUCCAGCCAUAACUCCCUCACCAGCAUAUCCAUACCCGUCUCCAUCAGGUCCCCUGCUUCACGAGUUAUCCAGCAAAACCAAAUAAAGAAAAGAUUAUUUUACUAACCUUAUUUUUUUGUCCCAGCCCUGAUUCUGCAUGUCCUGAGUUAGAAGACUACACCACAACAUGACAUG
Nothobranchius furzeri (turquoise killifish) is the source of this 1886-nucleotide long non-coding RNA. RefSeq lists it as uncharacterized. Lineage: Eukaryota; Metazoa; Chordata; Actinopteri; Cyprinodontiformes; Nothobranchiidae. The record is from RefSeq and is a predicted model, not a curated record.